This 497-nucleotide ribosomal RNA is filed under the name uncultured bacterium. RNAcentral describes it as "partial 16S ribosomal RNA". It matches the Rfam family "Bacterial small subunit ribosomal RNA", at positions 28 to 507 of the family's 1533-position model. The record is from RNAcentral.
GAUGAACGCUGGCGGCGUGCCUAAUACAUGCAAGUCGAGCGAACGGACGAGAAGCUUGCUUCUCUGAUGUUAGCGGCGGACGGGUGAGUAACACGUGGAUAACCUACCUAUAAGACUGGGAUAACUUCGGGAAACCGGAGCUAAUACCGGAUAAUAUUUUGAACCGCAUGGUUCAAAAGUGAAAGACGGUCUUGCUGUCACUUAUAGAUGGAUCCGCGCUGCAUUAGCUAGUUGGUAAGGUAACGGCUUACCGAGGCAACGAUGCAUAGCCGACCUGAGAGGGUGAUCGGCCACACUGGAACUGAGACACGGUCCAGACUCCUACGGGAGGCAGCAGUAGGGAAUCUUCCGCAAAGGGCGAAAGCCUGACGGAGCAACGCCGCGUGAGUGAUGAAGGUCUUCGGAUCGUAAAACUCUGUUAUUAGGGAAGAACAUAUGUGUAAGUAACUGUGCACAUCUUGACGGUACCUAAUCAGAAAGCCACGGCUAACUACGUG